RNAcentral lists this non-coding RNA (579 nucleotides) under Pongo abelii (Sumatran orangutan). Lineage: Eukaryota; Metazoa; Chordata; Mammalia; Primates; Hominidae. The record is from RNAcentral.
GACGCUUCCCUCCCACCUGGGGUCAACGGCCUUUUCCGGCCCAAACCCGCUCCUCAGCUCGUGAAUAGUCAACGAGGCCUUUCUGGGCGGGACCAGAGGUUUCCUCAUGAAUAAUUCAUGACCCGUUCACGGCUGGCCGGGGCGACCGGCCUCGCUAGACUUCAUGAAUAUGCAAAGCAGGGGCGAGCGGCGGCUAGCCGGCCCCUAGCCCGCCCGGCCCCUCAGCAGCCGCCUCUCAGCCACUGGCUGCACACUGACCCGACGCGACCUUCUCUCGGGGGCCGCCAGCCUGGGCCACCUGUACAACGACAGCCUGCUCCGGGGCUUCCUGAGGAGGUGCCUGCCCGCCGAGGUUCAACAGCUUCGGAGAGCAGGACAUCUUUUCCUCUCAGCCUGGCCCUCUGCAAUAGAGGCCAUAAACAGGCCAGUAGUGAAAGCUACAGGACAUGUGAGCAUGGCAGGGGCUGAGCUCCAUUUUAAGGUCUUGCCCUGUCAUCCAGGCUGGAGUGCAAUGGAUCUUGGAUCACUGCAACCUCCACCUUCUAGGCUCAAGUGAUCCUCCUGCCUCAACCUCCCAAG